UAUUAAAAUUUAUUAUGGAUUUCUUAACAUAUAGCACAAGCAGCGAACAAUCUGUUUUACAGUGGGUGUGUUCUUUAAUUUUUGUGUUUUUGUUUUGUUUUUUGCUUUUAAUUUUAAUG
This is a long non-coding RNA of Agrilus planipennis (emerald ash borer), 119 nucleotides long. RefSeq lists it as uncharacterized. The transcript is spliced from 3 exons. Lineage: Eukaryota; Metazoa; Arthropoda; Insecta; Coleoptera; Buprestidae. The record is from RefSeq and is a predicted model, not a curated record.